GAUGAACGCUGGCGGCGUGCCUAAUACAUGCAAGUCGAGCGAACGGACGAGAAGCUUGCUUCUCUGAUGUUAGCGGCGGACGGGUGAGUAACACGUGGAUAACCUACCUAUAAGACUGGGAUAACUUCGGGAAACCGGAGCUAAUACCGGAUAAUAUUUUGAACCGCAUGGUUCAAAAGUGAAAGACGGUCUUGCUGUCACUUAUAGAUGGAUCCCCGCUGCAUUAGCUAGUUGGUAAGGUAACGGCUUACCAAGGCAACGAUGCAUAGCCGACCUGAGAGGGUGAUCGGCCACACGGGAACUGAGACACGGUCCAGACUCCUACGGGAGGCAGCAGUAGGGAAUCUUCCGCAAUGGGCGAAAGCCUGACGGAGCAACGCCGCGUGAGUGAUGAAGGUCUUCGGAUCGUAAAACUCUGUUAUUAGGGAAGAACAUAUGUGUAAGUAACUGUGCACAUCUUGACGGUACCUAAUCAGAAAGCCACGGCUAACUACGUG
RNAcentral lists this ribosomal RNA (497 nucleotides) under uncultured bacterium. RNAcentral describes it as "partial 16S ribosomal RNA". It matches the Rfam family "Bacterial small subunit ribosomal RNA", at positions 28 to 507 of the family's 1533-position model. The record is from RNAcentral.